RNAcentral lists this ribosomal RNA (482 nucleotides) under uncultured bacterium. Its description in RNAcentral is "partial 16S ribosomal RNA". It matches the Rfam family "Bacterial small subunit ribosomal RNA", at positions 899 to 1397 of the family's 1533-position model. The record is from RNAcentral.
ACUCAAAUGAAUUGACGGGGACCCGCACAAGCAGUGGAGCGCCUGGUUUAAUUCGAUGUUUAGCGAAAAACCUCACCUAGGCUUGAACUGUAGCUGUAUUUGGUAGAAAUAUCAAAGCUUCGAGAUCGCUACAGAGGUGCUGCAUGGCUGUCGUCAGCUCGUGUCGUGAGAUGUAGGGUUAAGUCCCGCAACGAGCGCAACCCCUUUCCAGUGUUAUAAUUUCUCUGGAUACUGCCUUGCCAAAACGAGGAGGAAGGAGGGGAUGACGUCCAGUCAUCAUGUCCCUUAUGUCUAGGGCUACACAGACGCUACAAUGGUCGGUACAAUGGGUUGCCAAACCGCGAGGUGGAGCUAAUCCCAUCAAAGCCGGCCCCAGUUCAGAUUGUAGGCUGCAACUCGCCUACAUGAAGUCGGAAUUGCUAGUAAUCGCGUAUCAGCAUGACGCGGUGAAUACGUUCUCGGGUCUUGUACACACCGCCCGU